UACGGAGGGUGCAAGCGUUAUCCGGAUUUACUGGGUUUAAAGGGUGUGUAGGCGGACUUUUAAGUCCGUGGUGAAAUCCCCGGGCUCAACCCGGGAACUGCGUCCGAUACUGGAAGGCUUGAAUCCGGGAGAGGGAUGCGGAAUUCCAGGUGUAGCGGUGAAAUGCGUAGAUAUCUGGAGGAACACCGGUGGCGAAGGCGGCAUCCUGGACCGGCAUUGACGCUGAGGCGCGAAAGCCAGGGGAGCAAACGGG
RNAcentral lists this ribosomal RNA (253 nucleotides) under uncultured bacterium. RNAcentral describes it as "partial 16S ribosomal RNA". It matches the Rfam family "Bacterial small subunit ribosomal RNA", at positions 524 to 776 of the family's 1533-position model. The record is from RNAcentral.